RNAcentral lists this transfer RNA (68 nucleotides) under Poecilocoris nepalensis. Its description in RNAcentral is "tRNA-Phe". Lineage: Eukaryota; Metazoa; Arthropoda; Insecta; Hemiptera; Scutelleridae. The record is from RNAcentral.
AUCUAAGUAAUUAAAAUUUAUAAUAUAAUAUUGAAGUUAUUAAUUUAGGAUUGAAAUCCUCUUAGAUA